UACGUAGGGUGCAAGCGUUGUCCGGAAUUAUUGGGCGUAAAGAGCUCGUAGGCGGUCUGUCGCGUCGGGAGUGAAAUCCACUGGCUUAACUGGUGGCUUGCUUUCGAUACGGGCAGACUGGAGGCAUGCAGGGGAGAACGGAAUUCCUGGUGUAGCGGUGAAAUGCGCAGAUAUCAGGAGGAACACCGGUGGCGAAGGCGGUUCUCUGGGCAUGUCCUGACGCUGAGGAGCGAAAGUGUGGGGAGCGAACAGG
Molecule: ribosomal RNA, 253 nt
Filed under: uncultured bacterium
Lineage: Bacteria
Description: partial 16S ribosomal RNA
Rfam family: Bacterial small subunit ribosomal RNA
Source: RNAcentral